RNAcentral lists this ribosomal RNA (365 nucleotides) under Candidatus Anaplasma camelii. Its description in RNAcentral is "bacterial SSU rRNA". It matches the Rfam family "Bacterial small subunit ribosomal RNA", at positions 25 to 400 of the family's 1533-position model. The record is from RNAcentral. Lineage: Bacteria; Pseudomonadati; Pseudomonadota; Alphaproteobacteria; Rickettsiales; Anaplasmataceae.
CAGAACGAACGCUGGCGGCAAGCUUAACACAUGCAAGUCGAACGGAUUGUUAUCAUAGCUUGCUAUGAUAACAAUUAGUGGCAGACGGGUGAGUAAUGCAUAGGAAUCUACCUAGUAGUAUGGGAUAGCCACUAGAAAUGGUGGGUAAUACUGUAUAAUCCCUGCGGGGGAAAGAUUUAUCGCUAUUAGAUGAGCCUAUGUUAGAUUAGCUAGUUGGUAGGGUAAAGGCCUACCAAGGCAGUGAUCUAUAGCUGGUCUGAGAGGAUGAUCAGCCACACUGGAACUGAGAUACGGUCCAGRCUCCUACGGGAGGCAGCAGUGGGGAAUAUUGGACRAUGGGCGCAAGCCUGAUCCAGCUAUGCCGC